AUGAAAUCUAGAUUGACUUAAUUGUGGUCAAUAGUUUGAAGAGGGCAGAUGGGGUCAUGAGAAAAUCGUAAAGAAACAUGCUUUUGGCUUUUGCUUAAGGGUUAAGUCUAGAAAGGAGCGGGAUCACGAGGAAUUCCCAACCUAGAAACAGACCCAGUUGCAUAAGAAUAUGAUGUGAUACAUGGGUCAUGGUCAUGACUCAGCAUCACAGAGUUUGAAAUUCUGGAGGUGGGUGUUUUGAAAUUGGGCGGUAAGUGUUGAAAGCGAGAGGUUGUUGUCUGUGAUGGUGGUGGACACGGCACUGCUUUCUUUGUUUGGGUUUGGAAUGACUUUUGGGGCUGAUGGGCAUGCCCAAAAAGUCCAAGGGCUGAAGCCCAAUGCAAGGAGUUUUGCUCAGUUUGCCUUUCAGGAAUCGAAAAUAUUUGGGGUUGCCUACCUUCCAUGAGAUCUCCAAUUUUGGGUCAGUUUGAUUUUUGUUUUCCUUAUCAUUUUAAGUUCUUUUUACUUACUUCUUAGUAGAAUAUUGGUCUAUAAGAUGAUAUGCUAUCUGUCCUCAUUCAGAUUUGAAAUGACAAUGAAAAUAGUGAUCAGAAAUUGUGAUUUUUGAGGAAGGGAUCUUUCAGAAGAGUAGAACUAUCUGGGUUUCAACAUAUUUUCUGAUUUAGAAGGGUAGAAACUAGACUUUCGUCUGUCUUUUUUUUUUCUUCACCAAAUUGGGAAGUCAUGAACCCCAGAUGGAUUUUCUGGGAUUUCAUCUGAUUUCGCACUGCAUUCAAGGGUACUGACUCCAUAAUUCAGAUAUGUCUGUCAUUGGAAAUUGGAACCAUCAUCACCACCAACAGUUUUAGGAUGUCGAGACAUGGUUCUGUAACCCAUUUCGUGUUGGUUAUAUGCAUUUUCAAGCCAUUCAAGGACCAGGCUCCAAGCAUCACUUUGAUGGAGGGCUUCAAUAAUAGCAGCCUGAAAAGGAAUUUCCAUUAAUAUUCAAUAGCUUUAGGAUCUUUGUUGCUGUGAAUGACAAGUAAAUAAUGCCAAGAAAGAGACACGUACUCACAAAGAAAUACGGUAUGGAAUCAGAUGAAUAUAAUGAUAAAAACAUGCUCAGAAUUUCCCGUUGUGGUGUGUAGAAGAUGCUUCUCGAAUCAAACCGAGGGAAGGAGUGCUGUUGAGGACAAAGAAGCUGUAGCCGUGGUUCUAUGAAUAAUGAAAUAGCACUUGAAGCUGAACCUGUACUACUAUUAUCUAACCAAAAUUCUUUGGGUCAUAUACCAUUGCUAGGCCGAUUGUCGGUGGUGUGGGUCUUGUGGUUAUUAACAUUGGAGUACCAGAAAUGGCUGGGCCUUCCCAAACGAUGGAAGAAGUUCAAUAUGAUUUCUCCAGUGAGUAUCAUGUCAUGAUAGAGGAGAUACACCAUGACAGGCUUUUGUCAAAUUGGUACUAUUAUCUGAACAGUAUGGGAAGGGUGUGUUCAUUGGCACUUCAUGCUUAUAUGAUAAGAAUAUCUUGAAAAGAACUCCAAACACCGAUAUUCUCUAUGGAAUCUGUUCAUUCCAAAGAAAGUAUAGAGCAACUUUUGGGGCAAAAAUUUUUUUUUUCUCUUCUUAGGAAGAGAAUAAGUUUCUCUAUUCCCUCUACUUCUUCAUCUCUUUGAAAGGUAUUUUGGUGCUUCUAAAUGUGGUUUCUCCAAAACAACAUCAAACCCUUUUAAUUGGAAAGGUGUGCAAGUUGAUCCAUUGAACCUAAGCUUGUGUUUCUUCAAUUUUUUGUUUUAGAGCCUUAAGCAUGGCUUGAUGACCUCUUGUAGAGUUAUCUUUUGCUGAUUAGUUGAGUCUCCAUUGAAGUCCCAUGACCUUUCUCUUCUUAUGAUGGAGUUUACAAUUGAAUUUCCCGUUGACUGUUUCUUUUCCUCGUUUUCUUUCAUUACUAUUUGAGAUUUUUAUUAAUUAUAGGAGAUUUAUCUAUAGUUUGCUACCAUAUAGAGUCCAGAAAGUAUCACUUCCAAACAAACUGGCAUUUUAAUCCUUGGGUCAGUGCUUAGUGGUAAUGCUCAUUUUGCUUCUCCUCACUCUUAGAGAGACUAAUUUAUCUCUGCAAUUGUCCAUUACUCCGUAGUUCCAUUCCUUAAAUCCUUUACAUCUGUUGCUUUUUUAUCCAAUUGAGAUACAUCUGAGAGCAUUUUUAAGUUAUUAACAAUUCACAGCAUUGUUACCUGACCAGUUGGGGUUUGCAACAUAAAUUCUCCAAAUCCAGUUUUCUUAGAAGCAACAUCUUCAUUAUAUGUGCAAAACUUGAGUUAUUAGAAUCUAUCCACAUCCAUUUAAGCUCCAUUAUGCCAUUUCUCCUCGCUGAGUAUGCAUUUUUCUUUGAAUUUUGAAUAAGCUUAAUUGCUGCCAGAAUUUCACUCACUGUUUAAGGCACAUGGCAUCCUUUAGGAUCAAAUUCAUGCACACUUGUUUGGAAAUACCCAUUCUGUAGCAUUCUCUCAGUUCACUGUAACUAGACUGUCAUCAUCCCAAUGAAUGAAGUCUUCCUGAGGAUUUCCAGAACGUGUGUGGAAGGACAUUGGCUGCCAAAGGGCAGCUUAAUAAGAUUGUAAGCACACUUGGCUUCCUGCCCUCCAGCCUUUGGUGCAUUGCAGACUUGAUUUUGGAACCUGAAAUUGCAAGUUUCAUGGUCACCAUCAUUCUCGUUUCUAUUCGAACUGUCUGGCUACCGAGUAUGUAAAGUGUGUUAUAACCAUGUAGUGUAAUUGUUGGCACCUAGGGGUAUGUAUUGAAUGAUGACCAUGCUGCUUGAAAAGAGAUGUUAUCUGUGCAGAGGAAAAAAUUGAGUCUGUUUUCAUCAGUUUCAUAUUCAUGGUACAUCUUUCAUGUUAGAAUUUCUUCAAUGAAGAUUGCCGAAUUUUAAAGUUCA
Vitis vinifera (wine grape) is the source of this 2913-nucleotide long non-coding RNA. RefSeq lists it as uncharacterized. Lineage: Eukaryota; Viridiplantae; Streptophyta; Magnoliopsida; Vitales; Vitaceae. The transcript has 2 exons. The record is from RefSeq and is a predicted model, not a curated record.